RNAcentral lists this ribosomal RNA (1379 nucleotides) under Acumontia sp. Mad3. RNAcentral's name for it is "SSU rRNA". It matches the Rfam family "Eukaryotic small subunit ribosomal RNA", at positions 402 to 1804 of the family's 1831-position model. The record is from RNAcentral. Lineage: Eukaryota; Metazoa; Arthropoda; Arachnida; Opiliones; Triaenonychidae.
AACGGCUACCACAUCCAAGGAAGGCAGCAGGCGCGCAAUUACCCACUCCCGGCAAGGGGAGGUAGUGACGAAAAAUAAUGAUGCGGGACUCUUUUGAGGCUCUGUAAUCGAAAUGAGAGGACUCUAAAUACUAUAUCGAGGAUCCAUUGGAGGGCAAGUCUGGUGCCAGCAGCCGCGGUAAUUCCAGCUCCAAUAGCGUAUAUUAAAGUUGUUGCGGUUAAAAAGCUCGUAGUUGGAUCUCAGUUCGAGACUGGCGGUCCGCCGUUCGGUGGCUACUGCUUGGACUCAACAUCUUGCCGGUUUUCCCCUGGUGCUCUUUACUGAGUGUCUCGGGUGCCCGGCACGUUUACUUUGAAAAAAUUAGAGUGCUCAAAGCAGGCGUUUAGCCUGAAUAAUGGUGCAUGGAAUAAUGUAAUAGGAUCUCGGUUCUAUUGUGUUGGUUUUCGGAACACGAGGUAAUGAUUAAAAGGGACGGACGGGGGCAUUCGUAUUGCGACGCUAGAGGUGAAAUUCUUGGACCGUCGCAAGACGAACUACUGCGAAAGCAUUUGCCAAGAACGUUUUCAUUAAUCAAGAACGAAAGUUAGAGGUUCGAAGGCGAUCAGAUACCGCCCUAGUUCUAACCAUAAACGAUGCCAACCAGCAAUCCGCCUGAGUUCCUCAAAUGACUCGGCGGGCAGCUUCCGGGAAACCAAAGUGUUUGGGUUCCGGGGGAAGUAUGGUUGCAAAGCUGAAACUUAAAGGAAUUGACGGAAGGGCACCACCAGGAGUGGAGCCUGCGGCUUAAUUUGACUCAACACGGGAAAACUUACCCGGCCCGGACACCGGAAGGAUUGACAGAUUAAGAGCUCUUUCUUGAUUCGGUGGGUGGUGGUGCAUGGCCGUUCUUAGUUGGUGGAGCGAUUUGUCUGGUUAAUUCCGAUAACGAACGAGACUCUAGCCUACUUAAUAGAGAACCGAUUUCCUCUCGUCGGUUACUCUUCUUAGAGGGACAAGCGGCGUUUAGCCGCACGAGACAGAGCAAUAACAGGUCUGUGAUGCCCUUAGAUGUCCGGGGCCGCACGCGCGCUACACUGAAGGAAUCAGCGUGUGUUCACCCUGGCCGAAAGGCCUGGGUAACCCGUUGAACCUCCUUCGUGAUAGGGAUAGGGGCUUGUAACUAUUCCCCUUGAACGAGGAAUUCCCAGUAAGCGCGAGUCAUAAGCUCGCGUUGAUUACGUCCCUGCCCUUUGUACACACCGCCCGUCGCUACUACCGAUUGAAUGAUUUAGUGAGGUCUUCGGACUGGUGCUCGGAGCGGCUCUCGGGUCGCGCCGGCGUACCGGAAAGAUGACCAAACUUGAUCAUUUAGAGGAAGUAAAAGUCGUAACAAGGUUUCC